GAUCCUGGCUCAGGAUGAACGCUAGCGGCAGGCCUAACACAUGCAAGUCGAGGGGCAGCGGGGAUUGAGCUUGCUCAAUUUGCCGGCGACCGGCGCACGGGUGCGUAACGCGUAUGUAACCUACCCUGAACUGGGGAAUAACACUGAGAAAUCGGUACUAAUACCCCAUAAUACACUGGAAGGCAUCUUUUGGUGUUGAAAGCUCCGGCGGUUCAAGAUGGACAUGGCGUUGUAUUAGCUAGUUUGG
Molecule: ribosomal RNA, 247 nt
Filed under: uncultured bacterium
Lineage: Bacteria
Description: partial 16S ribosomal RNA
Rfam family: Bacterial small subunit ribosomal RNA
Source: RNAcentral